AAUUAAACAAAAAAAAAAGGAAAGGAAAGGGAAAGGGGAAAAGAAAGAACCAGACAUUGAUAGCGGACUCUCUCUCCGCCGGAGACUGUAAAACCGAAAUCGGCAGCAAUGACGGAGGAGAGUGGCGCUAGGGUUUCCUCCGACGUGCCCAGCGAUGAUUCACAAACAAGGCAAAGGAAGAAAAGAAAGUGGGAUCAACCUGCAGCAUCCUUGGUUUCAGCCGGUUUAGCAGUGCCUGGGGCUCUCCCAAUGGUAAAUGUGGGAUUUCUUGGUGGGAUUACAAUUCCUGGCACAACUCUGGUUACUGGUGCUGUUUCAAUGAAUCCAUUUGUGGCCAGCUAUGCUACCAUACCUCAGCCGUAUCAGGUUCCUCUGAUCCCGCCACAGACUGCCACGGUCAUUCAGAAAUUAAUUCAAAUCCAAAAAUGCACGGGAGCUGUGGUGAUAACAAGGGGAAAGUAUCAUCCACCAAAUUCAUCAACUGAUGGUGAAAAGCCACUAUAUCUUCAUAUAUCUUCAGGGGCUCAUUUAAAAGAGACAGCAGAACGUAUUUUAGCAGUUGACCGUGCAGCUGCCAUGGUUGAAGAAAUGUUGAAACAGGGUCAGAAUCCAACUAUGAGCAAUGGAGUGAUGGCACAAGGUACUUGUGUAUAUUUGGGCUUUGACGCAGAUCCAUCAUUGAACAUUGCAGCUCGUAUACGUGGUCCAAAUGACCAGUAUAUAAAUCACAUUAUGAAUGAAACAGGAGCAACUGUCUCACUCAGAGGGCGUGGUUCCGGAAAUAUUGAGAAUAUACAUGACGAAGAAGGACAGCUACCGUUGCAUUUAUUCUUGUCAAGUAAUAAUUCAAAAAGUCUUGAAGAUGCUAAGCUUUUGGCUGAAAAUCUUUUAGAUACAAUCAGUGUAGAGUGUGGUGUCUCCAGGGUUUCAUCAUCUAAGGUUUAUAGUGCUGUUGCACCCCCACAGCAGGUAUAUAGUGCUGUUCCACCACCGCAUCAGUUGGCCGGGGUUCAGAGUUCUGGAAUUGAGGUAAAAGCAAUUACAAGUUCGGUGUCUCCAACUGUGGGUGCUACACCAGCUUUGCCAGUUUCCUCUGCUGGAACCCCUGGUGUCGCUACUGUCUUUUCUCAAGGGACAGUCUCUCAACCUGGAGGAUUGUUGAACUGUGCACAAUCUCAGGCGAACAUUGGUGGUUAUCCCCAACCUCUAUUAUCUAGUGGAACAAGCUACAAUGGAUACGCAGGGAUAUAUCCUCAAGUCACACCUUUGCAACAGGUUGCUCUGGCCCUUAGACAGCCAUCUUCCCCUAUCACUUCUACAGUUGCUCCCACAACAUCAGCCCCAAGCACUGAACCAAAGGUGAAUGUUACCUCUGGUUCUGAGAAGGAGAAACACCCUCCACAAAGGCGGAAGUUUCAGGAGUUACCAGUUGGUCCUGCAAAAGUCCAUCAGGUAUUUUCUCUGACUUUCUAUGAGGCCGAUACUGAACCUCUCUAUUGGGCCACUGGUCUGUAUUUUUCACAGGGUUUUCAUUUCGGUGGUACCAUUGGGGUUCACUUGUGGUUGGAGCUUUAUUCUGCGGACAACUUAGACUUGCUGUUUAGUUUAAUGUCAUAUACUUAGGUCAAGUUACAAGAAUAUAUUUUGUUUUCUAUUUGUCAUAAGUCAAUCCAGUGUUGGAUUUCUUCAUUUCGUGACGAGCAUCCUAGUGUUUCCUUCUUGUGCUGUCACCAGCAGCAUGCACAGCCAAACUCCUAGAGAAGAGGUACCCCAUCACAACCAUUGCCAGCUUCACUUGGAUUUCAUGAGAACUCCAUGGUUUCGAUGAUUCAAGAGUUUGAAAUGCAAAUUCUGAGCUACUGCUACUUCCAGUUGCAUUGGAAUAAAAGUGGCAUUGGUGUUGAUGGUUGAAAAUUGGCUGUGGAUGCUGGUGGGUGCCACUCAUGGAAUGCUUUUUUUUUAAAGCAAAAGGUACUUGUACAGAUCAAAUUCCAUGGAACCAUUAUUGAUCUGUACUUGCUCAUGGAAUCUGUGGAGCAAGUAUAGCUCUAUACUUGCUCAUGAACAUGAUAUUUACAACCACCUUUUUUAUCCUUUUCCUUCGGUACUCUUCCUAGACGGAGUUCACAACUAACCUUCAAUUUCUCCUUUAUGAACUUAGCCAUUUAGAAAUGUUAAUAUUACUGUGCCUUUGAAACUUGAUACGCAUGUGGUUAAGCUAUAGAACAGUUUGUAAACUUGUUCGAUGAUAUGAAAUCAUUUUUUGGAUUAAUUUUCUUAGUUGCAACUAUUAAUCUUUAGAUUAUUGCUCUUUUUUUUUUUUUUUACAUAAACAUUCACAGUUUUCUGGUUAUUGAGCUGUUAGUUUUUGUUUUUGGUUUCUUUUCUCCCUAACUGACUGCAGGAUUUGGGUGUGAGAAAUGUAUCCACGAUGCCAGCUCCAAAGAAACUGGUCCAGCAGGCAUCAAAUGGAAUGCCACCUCCCCCACCUAGAGCCAUGCCUCCAGCUCCACCUCCACCAAAAUUUACCUCAUCAACACAGGCUGUUAAAGUGCUUGACAAGAACAUUGCUCUGAAGAAAACAAAACCUGAUAAUGUUCCUGAUACUCUGGUCAAGCUAAUGGAAUAUGGUGAUGAUGAAGAUGAUGACGAUGAGGAAACUAAUGAAGAA
This is a non-coding RNA of Malus domestica (apple), 2671 nucleotides long. NCBI's taxonomy places the organism in Eukaryota, Viridiplantae, Streptophyta, Magnoliopsida, Rosales, Rosaceae. The record is from RefSeq and is a predicted model, not a curated record.